Cherax quadricarinatus is the source of this 4660-nucleotide non-coding RNA. Lineage: Eukaryota; Metazoa; Arthropoda; Malacostraca; Decapoda; Parastacidae. The record is from RefSeq and is a predicted model, not a curated record.
AGAAGACACUCAGUAGAUUCAGUAAAGAUGUUGAAGAGGAUAACACUGAAGAGAAGAAAAAAUCAGAUACAGGAAAGAAGGGAUUGAAGCAGGAGAAAAGAAAGUCAGAGGACUCAGACAGACCUUCAAAAAAGAGUUGUAAAUAUGGUGCCCAGUGCUACAAUAAUAACGAGGCUCAUCAGCUUUUCUAUGAACAUCCUUCUUCACUUCAUAUUGAACCUCCCACUGUAAAUACGCAUCCACUUGUGGCCUGAGCGCGCCUCACUUGUCCCGUGGGUGCCAGUGUUUACAAGCCAGCCAGCCACCGCGGUCCCAUCCAAGAAUACAAUCGGAACAUUUCAUAUUAUCACAGCGUUUUUGGUGAUUUCACCUGCAAAAUAAGUCACCAUGGGCCCCAAGAAAGCUUCUAGUGCCAGCCCUACAGCAAAAAGGGUGAGAAUUACUAUGGAUAUGAAGAAAGAGAUCAUUGCUAAGUAUGAAAGUGGAAUGCGGGUCUCCUAGCUUGCCAGGUUGUACACAAAACCCCAAUCAACCAUUGCUACUAUUGUGACCAAGAAAACAGCAAUCAAGGAAGCUGUUCUUGCCAAAGGUGCAACUAUGUUUUCGAAACAGAUCGCAAGUGAUAGAAGAUGUUGAGAGACUGUUAUUGGUGUGGAUAAAUGAAAAACAGAUAGCAGGAGAUAGCAUCUCUCAAGCGAUCAUAUGUGAAAAGGCUAGGCAGUUGCAUGAGGAUUUAAUUAGAAAAAUGCCAGCAACUAGUGGUGAAGUGAGUGAAUUUAAGGCCAGCAAAGGUUGGUUUGAGAGAUUUAAGAAUCGUAGUGGCAUACAUAGUGUGAUAAGGCAUGGUGAGGCUGCCAGUUCGGACCACAAAGCAGCUGAAAAAUAUGUGAAGUAAUUCAAGGAGUACAUAGAGGCUGAAGGAUUGAAACCUGAACAAGUGUUUAAUUGUGAUGAAACAGGCCUGUUUUGGAAGAAAAUGCCAAGCAGGACCUACAUUACUGAGGAGGAAAAGGCACUCCCAGUACAUAAGUCUAUGAAAGACAGGCUUACUCUGUUGAUGUGUGCCAAUGCUAGUGGUGAUUGCAAAUUGAAGCCUUUAUUGGUGUAUCACUCUGAAACUCCCAGAGCGUUCAGGCAAAAGAAUAUCCUCAAGGCUAAUUUGUGUGUGCUGUGGAGGGCAAACAGUAAGGCAUGGGUCACUAGGGACAUUUUCUAUGACUGGUUACACUAGGCAUUUGCCCCCAAUGUGAAAAAUUACCUAAUUGAAAAUAAAUUGGACCUUAAGUGCCUCCUGGUAUUAGACAAUGCUCCUGGUCAUCCUUCAGACUUGGUAGAGUGACUUUCUGCGGGCAUGAGCUUCAUUAAGAUCAAGUUUCAUGAUGAAAACGACCUUGAAAUUGAGCUCAAAGUAGCAGAAUUGUUCGAUUUUUACCAAUGUUCAGGAGUAAGCAAAUCACACCACAUGUCUAAUGCACGCCAACUGGGAAGUCUAAUAUUCUUUCACUAGUGCACUGAUAUUAUUUAUACCAUUUUUACAAUACUGCAGUAGUCUGCAUAACAGUAAAUUUUGUAUUUUUUGUAUGAAUAAAAAAUCAAAAUAGAAAGCAAUAGUAAUGUAAGAGGGGCCUAGAGACGUGACUAAUGAACAGAGGAUAUGUUAUUUUAGUGCCAGGAAUGUCUACAUUGUUUAUUCUGGACCCUAUUUUGAAAUUGGCAUCUUUUUUAAUUUGCGUGAAAUUCUCCAAAUUGCCAAUUUCUGACCACUUUAUUGGGUAGUUCAAAUUGGUAAAUUGGCAGUUUUUUGUACUCAACUGAUAGAAAAAUUGGAGUUCUAAAGAAAUAGCUAUGAGUUUAGUGAACUGGAACAACGGAAUUGGCCAAAAACAGGGCUCAAAGUCGGCAAAAUUGCCGAUGUGUAUUUGUCGCCGAGACCGCUAACUUUGCAGGAGCGUAAUUUUGUGAACUUUCUACAAAAUUUCUUACUUUUGGUGUCAUUACCAUCGGGAAAAGAUUCUCUAUCAUUUCAUAAAAAAAAAUAAUUUUUUUGUUUUUUCAAAAAAUUUUGCGACAUAGAAUGACAGUUUCAGAAAGGGAUUUGUGACACUCCAAGGGCUAAAUUGAGUAAUUUAUACAGGAAAAGGGGUUACUAGCCCCUUGCUCCCGGCAUGUUAGUCGCAAUACAUUAUCUGUUAACACAUUUUGCAAAAUUGCAACAUAUUUUUGGUGUACAUGCCAUAAAUAUUGGUUUACCUGGAGUACAUAUAAGGAAAAAUGUGGUAUUAACUGCUGUCUUUCUUCUCCAUCUCAUAAUGAGCCUCAGGGAUAGUGAUAAUGGCACCCGGGAGGAAUGCAAGUGAUUCUGGAACUGCAAUGAAGAAUAAGUGCAAAAUUCUUAAUGUUUUCAAGAAAAUCGAAAUACUAGAUAAGCUCAGGCAUGGUGAACAUGAGAUGGAAAUGGCGUUAGCUUAUGUCCUGAAUGAGACAUCACUUCAUACAAUUAAGAAGAAUGAGGCAAAGAUGAACUUGUGCAAUGAGUAACCCAGGUUGUGACCUGAAACGAAUGAACAACUAAGUAAGAUAGAAAGGUUGUUGAGUGAGUGGAUUGAACAAAAAACCAAGAAAGGUGCACCACUUAAUUUUGUCUUAAUAGGGGGAAAAGCCUUGUAGUUCUAUAAAAAUGUGUGUUGAGGAAGGAAAGUGCUUGUUUAGUACAGGGUGGUUCCACUAGUUCAUAUUGUGCAGUUGGUUGCAUAAUAUUAAGUUUUAGGGCAAAACUGCUGCAGGUAAUUUCCCUGUUGAGUUGUAGGAAAUUAUUUCUGAGAGUCAUUACGAGCCAUGACAAGUGUUUAAUGCUGAUGAGACACGUCAGCAAGAGAAAACUGCAAGGCAUUCCAGGAUUUAAGGCAGCAAACGAUUGCUUCAGCUUGCUCCUUUGAGGUAAUGCAUCAGGUGAAUUUAAGUGUAAGCAUAUGGUAAUAUAUCACUGAAAGACUCCCUGUGCUUUGAAAGGCAAAAAUAAAACCACCUUACAGGUUCUUUGAAGAUCAAACCAGUCAGCAUGGAUGACAGAGUAAUUAUUUAUUGACUGGUUUAAGCAUCACUUUAUUCCCAAAGUCAUGUUUUACCCAAGCAGCAAGAACCUUGCGUUUAAGGUUGUUUUCACUCUUGAUAAUUCCCGUACUCAUCCAGAAGCUUUGAUGGAUGUGCACCCACAUGUAAGAAUUGUGUUUUUACUACCAAAUACAUCCUUAAUACAGCCACUGGAUCGUUGAAUUUUUUUAGGAUAUUCAGUUGUAAAUACACGCAAAAAGUGAUGUGGAUACUUGUAGCAGCAAUGGAUACUGACUCUGAGCUAGGAGUGCCAGACUUCUGGAAUAAAUUUAACUUUGAAAAUGUCAUCAGCUAUGUUAGAAGUGCAUGAAAUGCAGUGCCCCAGUCAACAUUCAGUGCAAGCUGGGGAAAGUUUUGGUCUUGUGUGGUAAAUACUUUCACAGGUUUUCCUUCAGUUAAGAACCAGGUGCAGGAAAUUAUUCAGCUGGCUAGGAGAUUACUAUGUGAAGGCUUUGAAAAUAUGCAGUAAGAUGCAAAUGAACUGUUAGAAGAUGAUGAUGGAAAGAAAAGUCCAGAGAAAAUGUUGGCAGACCUCAUUGCCCAAAUACAGAGGAGUCAGAAGAAAGAACCUGAAGAAAAAGGGUUAACAUUAGAAUACCUACAUGAGCAGUUCCAUAUUGCUGCUAAACUAGAAGACUUUAACUUAAGAUGACCCUGACAAGUCUAGGAGCACUGUUCUAAAACUGGGUCUAGAGCAGCUAAUGAUGCCUUACUGUCAGCUAUAUAAAAGUACUGCAGAGUUAAAAAAGACCAGAGAUGCUUUACAGAAUUUCUCAGUACUCCAGUACAACCAUAAACAUCAGUUCAAGAGCUUCAAACAUACACUUCAUCUAACAAUCUCCAACCUUCCACCUCAGCCCAGUAGGGCCACACUAUCCAACACCAUACUUAUCAAAAUCAUUGGCAUGCACCAGCAACCUGAAUUUAAGGCAAUAAGUAAUAUUUAUGUAAUCUUUGAAGCUAUAAGUUUUUUUUUUUUUUUAUUAUUUUUUUUAUUUACAAGUUGGCUGUUUCCCACCGAAGCAGGGUGACCCAAAAAGAAAGAAAAUAUUAUUUUUUUUUUAUUUACAAGUUGGCUGUUUCCCACCGAAGCAGGGUGACCCAAAAAGAAAGAAAAUCCCUAAAAAGAGAAAACUUUCAUCAUCAUUCAACACUUUCACCUCACUCACACAUAAUCACUGUUUUUGCAGAGGUGCUUAGAAUACAACAGAUUAGAAGCAUAUAUGUAUAAACAUACACUACAUAUCCCUCCAAACUGCCAAUAUCCCAAACCCCUCCUUUAACCCUUUGAGGGUCGACAGGCCCUCUCCGAAACUCGUUCUCAGGGUCGGCCAAAUUUAAAAAAAAAAAAAAAUUAUUUUCUCUUAUGAAAAGAUAGAGAAUCUUUUCCCGAUCAUAAAGACACCAAAAGUUUGAAAUUUGAUAGAAAACUUACGGAAUUAUGCUCUCGCAAAGUUAGCGGUCUCGGCGAUGUUUACGCAUCGGCGAUUUUGCCUACUUUGAGCCCCAUUUUCGGCCAAUUUCACUGUUCUAGUCGACAAAAAACAUG